Ipomoea nil (Japanese morning glory) is the source of this 1011-nucleotide long non-coding RNA. RefSeq lists it as uncharacterized. The record is from RefSeq and is a predicted model, not a curated record. The transcript is spliced from 3 exons. Lineage: Eukaryota; Viridiplantae; Streptophyta; Magnoliopsida; Solanales; Convolvulaceae.
UAGAUGUUGGAUGAAUAUAAUAAUCAUAUCCAAAAAGAUGAGGAAAUCAAACUGCAGAUGGAUGGAUUCUGUGCUUAUGAUCAAGGUUGUCUUAUGUGUAAGGGUAUGAAAAAGGCACGAAGGUAGCAACUCCUGGUCAAGACUGAAGUGCAAAAAGCAAUUGGAUGAACUGAAAGAGCAAACUGAAAAUUUUGGAUCAAAGGCUUUAAUUGGUGAAGGAUCUUAUGGAAGAGUGUACUUCGCGAAUCUAAAUGAUGGUAAAUCUGUAGCUGUGCAAAAGCUAGAUGUUUCAUCUGAAUAAGAUUCAAAUGCUGAGUUCCUGACUCAAGGGCCAACCACCUGUAAUACACCGGGAUAUCAGAUCCGGCAAUGUCUUUCUGUUUGAAGAAUUUAAAGCAAAGAUUGCAGAUUUUAACCUUUCAAAUCAAGCUCCUGAUAUGGCUAUCAUGCACCAGACUGGCUGCUGUUGCGGCAUUGUGUGUACAGUAUGAGGCAGAGUUCUGUCCAAAUACGAGCAUCUUUGUGAAGGCCCUUCAGCCACUCUUGAAGUCUUCUGCCCCUGCUCCAGAAUUCCCAGAAAUAUAAUCCUAAAAUACCAUUUAUUGCUUGGUCUGAGGGAAUUUCUACAACCGGCCUGUUGCACAGUUUAGUCGUUUGCAGGAGAAUUGCAUAUAGUAUUUAAAAGUUAAUAUUUGUUUUCGUUUUUCUUCAAAUAAGAGAUUGCAAUUGAUGGUUUUAUUCCUUUGGGUUCACUUUGUCGCAGUACUAGAUUGUUACUGAGGUUUUCCAAGUCAUUAAUCAAUUACUGAUGUUGAGCGGUGAGAUUGGUUUGCUGGGGUUGUUUCCUUCAGUACUGAGAACCGAGAUUUUCCAAGUCAUCUGUCAUUUAUCAACGAGCUGUGAGAGGUGAUAUUUCCGUUUGGAACUCUGAUGUAUAUUUUGUAAAAUUAUUUUGAGUUUAUGGAUCUGGUGAAACUUUGUUUUGAUUAAUCUAUAUUUGUUUGUGUUUAA